AGCAAACUUAUUGAAAAAUAAGGACGCAAAGCUAUGGGUCUAAGGAUAUUAAUUAUCAAUGAUUGCCAGGUUGCA
Molecule: non-coding RNA, 75 nt
Filed under: Lachnoclostridium phytofermentans
Lineage: Bacteria; Bacillati; Bacillota; Clostridia; Lachnospirales; Lachnospiraceae
Description: Cyclic di-GMP-I riboswitch
Rfam family: c-di-GMP-I riboswitch aptamer
About the family: GEMM was predicted in a large-scale screen for bacterial structured RNA regulatory elements. Genes associated with GEMM are involved in a diverse array of functions, including chemotaxis regulation, signal transduction, secretion and chitin.
Source: RNAcentral